RNAcentral lists this ribosomal RNA (497 nucleotides) under uncultured bacterium. RNAcentral's name for it is "partial 16S ribosomal RNA". It matches the Rfam family "Bacterial small subunit ribosomal RNA", at positions 28 to 507 of the family's 1533-position model. The record is from RNAcentral.
GAUGAACGCUGGCGGCGUGCCAAAUACAUGCAAGUCGAGCGAACGGACGAGAAGCUUGCUUCUCUGAUGUUAGCGGCGGACGGGUGAGUAACACGUGGAUAACCUACCUAUAAGACUGGGAUAACUUCGGGAAACCGGAGCUAAUACCGGAUGAUAUUUUGAACCGCAUGGUUCAAAAGUGAAAGACGGUCUUGCUGUCACUUAUAGAUGGAUCCGCGCUGCAUUAGCUAGUUGGUAAGGUAACGGCUUACCAAGGCAACGAUGCAUAGCCGACCUGAGAGGGUGAUCGGCCACACUGGAACUGAGACACGGUCCAGACUCCUACGGGAGGCAGCAGUAGGGAAUCUUCCGCAAUGGGCGAAAGCCUGACGGAGCAACGCCGCGUGAGUGAUGAAGGUCUUCGGAUCGUAAAACUCUGUUAUUAGGGAAGAACAUAUGUGUAAGUAACUGUGCACAUCUUGACGGUACCUAAUCAGAAAGCCACGGCUAACUACGUG